RNAcentral lists this ribosomal RNA (838 nucleotides) under uncultured Acidobacteriota bacterium. RNAcentral's name for it is "bacterial SSU rRNA". It matches the Rfam family "Bacterial small subunit ribosomal RNA", at positions 80 to 896 of the family's 1533-position model. The record is from RNAcentral. Lineage: Bacteria; Pseudomonadati; Acidobacteriota.
GCAAGGGGUAACUGAGUGGCGAACGGGUGAGUAACACGUGGGUGACCUGCCCUCGAGUGGGGGAUAACAUCCCGAAAGGGGUGCUAAUACCGCAUGACAUCCUGUCUUUGAACAGAUGGACAUUAAAGCCGGGGAUCGCAAGACCUGGCGCUCGUGGAGGGGCCCGCGCCCGAUUAGCUAGUUGGUGAGGUAACGGCUCACCAAGGCUACGAUCGGUAUCCGGCCUGAGAGGGCGGACGGACACACUGGGACUGAGACACGGCCCAGACUCCUACGGGAGGCAGCAGUGGGGAAUUGUUCGCAAUGGGCGAAAGCCUGACGACGCAACGCCGCGUGGAGGACGAAGAUCUUCGGGUCGUAAACUCCUUUCGAUCGGGACGAAUGAUCGGUGGCCUAAUACGUCAUCGGAAUGACGGUACCGAGAGAAGAAGCCCCGGCUAACUCCGUGCCAGCAGCCGCGGUAAUACGGGGGGGGCAAGCGUUGUUCGGAAUUACUGGGCGUAAAGGGCGCGUAGGCGGCCCUCUAAGUCAGACGUGAAAUCCCACGGCUCAACCGUGGAACUGCGUCUGAUACUGGAGGGCUUGAAUCCGGGAGAGGGAUGUGGAAUUCCAGGUGUAGCGGUGAAAUGCGUAGAUAUCUGGAGGAACACCGGUGGCGAAGGCGGCAUCCUGGACCGGUAUUGACGCUGAGGCGCGAAAGCUAGGGGAGCAAACGGGAUUAGAUACCCCGGUAGUCCUAGCCCUAAACGAUGAGUGCUUGGUGUGGCGGGUAUCGAUCCCUGCCGUGCCGAAGCUAACGCAUUAAGCACUCCGCCUGGGGAGUACGGUCGCAAGGCUG